CGCCAAUGGAGAUUUGUCCGG
This 21-nucleotide microRNA is filed under the name Gossypium hirsutum (cotton). Its description in RNAcentral is "ghr-miR399b". Its record names the gene ghr-miR399a. Lineage: Eukaryota; Viridiplantae; Streptophyta; Magnoliopsida; Malvales; Malvaceae. The record is from miRBase by way of RNAcentral.